GCAGACACAUUCCAGCCAAUCAGCAGCAGACCCUCCCUCCCAGACCCUCCCACCUCCUGGACAGCAUCCAUUUUGAAGCUGCAUUCUUAGUGAGCUGUCCAGGAGGUAGGAGGGUCUGGGAGGGAGGGUCUGCUGCUGAUUGGCUGGAAUGUGUCUG
Molecule: microRNA precursor, 157 nt
Filed under: Pelobates cultripes (western spadefoot toad)
Lineage: Eukaryota; Metazoa; Chordata; Amphibia; Anura; Pelobatidae
Source: RNAcentral